AAAAGUAUUGUGUGGCAUACAAACUUACACAGAGAGACAAAAAAUUAUUUAUACUUAAAAUCAAUAUCUCUAUUACAUAAGGGAAGGGGGGAGCAACGGUGUCCUCUUUUGAACUGACUAUUUUGCCCCCCUUCCCUUUCUAAAUUACAAAAGGAACGGAGAUAAUAGGAAUUAGUUGAAAAGGGCUUUUAUAUAAUUAGACUUAAAUUUGAUUCAUCUUCAUAUAAAAUCUGAAAACAAGAUGUGUAUGAAAUUUGAUUAAUUUAUGACACUGAUGAAAAGGUUACAAAUUUAUUUUUUUUAAAAAAAUUCCAAUAUAAAUUUUUGCCCAAAACUUUUGCAAAAUAUCCAUGUUCAGAAAUAAAUUUUGAAAAAUAAAACAAUAUCAAACCUUUUUGCGAACAACUUUUGCAAAAAUCCAUUUUCAGAAAAAAAAAUUUACAUUAAUUUGCGAAAUCAUAUUGUGUAUGAAAAAGUUUAAAUUUCAUUACCUAUAAUUGAAACUCAAAGUGUUAAAAUUUAGAAAAGGAGAAAAAUAAAAAAUGACCAUUUCAUGCGAAAUCAUAUUGUGUAUGAAAAACUUAAAAUUUCAUUUGAAAUAUAAUUGAAAGUCAAAGUGUGAACAUUUAGGGCCUGUUCUCCCCAGCUUAUUUUCAAUUCAGUUCAGUUCAAUUCAGUUCAGUUCAGAUCAGUUGAGAUCAGUUCAGUUCAGAUCAGUUCAAUUCAGAUCAGUUCAGUUCAGCUCUUGACAAUACUUUUACUCUCACAUGUCACUAUUCAUUUCAGUUCAGUUCAGUUCAAUUUAAUUCAGUUCAGAUCAGUUCAGAUCAGUUCAGUUCAGUUCAGUUCAGUUUAGAUCAGUUCAGAUCAGUUCAGUUCAGUUCAGUUCAGCUGUUUUAUGCCGAAGAGAACAUACCCUUAGAAAAGGAGAAAAAUUAAAAUGAUGAAAAUUUUUAAAUAUCAAUUUGUGAAAUCAUAAUUUAGAAGUUAGACAAGGAAAAAUAACUGAAAUUGUCUUAUACUUUUCGGUUACAAUUUUGGGAUCAUAGAGAAAUUACUGAAAUCCAUAUCAAAAACUAUUAUAAAUUACAAAAAUGAAUAAAAGCAAAAAAAAAAAAAGGAUAUUUAGUAAAGAGCAUCACACUGAUUAUAAAAUAAUAUGUGCAUAUAAGACUUGAGAAACAAAAAACUAUUCAAAAUCACAAAAAUGAAUAAGAACAAAAAAAAUAACAUGAAAGAAUCUUAUUCACAAAAUGGAGGUGAACUUAAAUAUUAACUUGCAUUUUCAAUUUGUUUACUACUUAGUAUUAGGCCUAAAAAUAUCAUCGCACGCAUCGCGUGCACAAAAGGCUAGUAUACAUAUAAAGGAGGAACUUUUCGGGAGCAUAGAGCGCGCCACCUAGGAUUGCCACAUCAUCUUAUAAAUUUACAAAUAAUAAAAAUAUACUACCUCUGUUUUUAUUUAGUUGUAACGUUUUGACUUUCACGCUUGCCAAUGUACAAUUUCAAAUCGUUUUAUCUCUAAUUGUAUGUAAGUAAAAAUUAUAAAAAUUUGAUAUUAUGAAAGCUUACAUCGAAACAAAUCAAACAAGACCCCACAUGACUAUAUUUUGUUUAACAUAUAAAUCAAUAAAUGUGGUCAAAUAAGAGAACAUGAAUAGUGCAAUUUGUCAAACGUUGCAACUAAAAGAGAACGGAGGUAGUAUAUAAUAAAAUAUAGAGAUAAUAUAGAUAAUUAAAAAUCUAGAGAUAAUAAAAUUUAGAGUUUGAGAGAUAAUAAAAUUUAGAGAUAAGUUUGAGAGAUAAGACUUUAUCUAUUUCAAUAUUUUUUAUUUUUUUAUUAGAAAUAUAAAACAUAUUUUCAUAUUAUUUCAAUUAUUUUUUUCUGUUUGCGUUUCAAUUGCUAAGAAAUAUCUACUACAACAAUAAAUUCAAAUGAUGAGAAUCGAAUUAUCAUUUGUUUCAACUGGAAAAAAAACAAAGGAAACCUCAUCAAAAAUAUCUCAUGGUCAUAUCCCAAAUAAAUUAUCUAAUUGCAACGUCAUCUUAUUAAUUUAGAGAUAAUAAAAUUUAGAGUUUGAGAGAUAAUAAAAGUUAGAGUUUGAGAGAUAAGAGUUUAUCACUCUACGGCUAUGAUUCACUCUACUAUAAAUAUGCAUGUUUAGCUAACAAUUGACCAUUUUCAUAUACUUAAAACACUACAACUUACAACAAUGGCUCACCAAUAUUCUGAUCCAAACUUAUCACGAGAAGCAAGAAAAAGACGUCGAACGAUAAUUAACCCAGAAUUUAUUCAAGGUUAUACUUUUUCAUACCUAUAAUGGUAUGAAUUUUACUAGCUUUAUGAAUCAACUAUGCAAAUCAGAAUCUCUUAUGCAAUUUCAUAGCCAAUAAUCCAUCUAACUAUUAACAUAAAGUAAAGGUAAUAUUGACAAUUAAAGUUGUUUUUUUUUUUACUUAAAGUUGAUUGGUCCAAAUAGAUAAGUAAAACUGCCCAAAGUGGUGAUUAUUGCAAUGGAAAAGGAACAGAUGAAGUAUGUAAAUCAAAUCGUGUUGAAAAAUCUCAUUUUACAGUCACACAAAAUCAAUAAUGUUAAGAAAAAAUAACAAAAAAAUAUAUAAAAAACAACCCGUGCAACGCACGGGCUUCAAAACUAGUUGAAUAUAUGUGUGAUGAAAAAUUUGUGGUUCUAUUCCAAAAAUAGCAAAUAAGGGACACCCUUAAAAGGAAUAGAGGUAAACUAAUAAAGGACGGAGGGAGUAUAAGCCAAGAGAGGAUGUGUGGUGUCCUUUUUCGAAGUGACUAAAAUACCCUUUAAUAAUUUAAAAUAAUAUUUUUCUUUUUAUAAAAAAUUGAAAAAUGAGAAUCAAUUAAACUUGCCAUAUGAGUAGGUCAAAAAUGGAAUAUGCAAUACCAUUAAUAACUUGACAAACUAGAUUGACACAAUCAAUUCACGAAAUCAAUUAGAAUUUUCAACUGAAAAAAGUUAGCAACAUAUCAUGAUAACAUAAUAUUACAUAUUUACAAAGUUCAAACAAUAUGGUUUAUUAACAUAUAUAAUUGUUAAAGAAAUAUAAUAAAGUCGCUGAAAAGAAAAUUCUUAAAUCAUCGACCAAAUUUUACAGUGACGGUAUUGAACUAGGUUGAAAAUCAUUCACUUUUAAUUUAAAAAGAUAAUAACAUCUACAAAAGAACCUCAAUAAUUUACAUCACUACCAAAAUAAUUUCAAAUAAAAAAAACAUGUCAAUUUGUAUAUAGCUAUAUAAGAUUGUCGACGAACACAUCGCGUGCAUAUGCAACUAGUGUUAAAGGCUCGAAGAAGCAAACAAAGAGUCGAUUGUCCCUAUUACUUUUUUUAGACACACUAGUAGAAAAAACCUCUUUUGCUACUUUACAAAUGCUUGGGUUGUUUUAACAACCCGAGCAUUUGACAAGUUUUUUGGAAAAUUAAAAAGAAAAAUUCACAAAUGCUCGGGUUUUUAAAAACAACCCGAGCAUUUGACUAAUUUAAUACUUUUUUUUUGAAAGGAAUUUUAUACUUGAAGUUGGAACGCAAGUCUAACACUAUUUCCCCUCUAAUCUCUGUUCUCUCUCUCUUUCCCUCUUCAUGAAACUGCUUCUCUUUCUCUCUCUUCCCCUCUUCACUCACUCCUCGAACUGCUUCUUCGAAUGCAUGUCGAGGUAAUUUCUUUCGAUUUUUAUUGUUGUAUUUUUGUUUUUUUUUUGGUUUCCUAGAUUUGGGGAUUAUUUUAGGGUUUUCUUUGAUUCUUUAAGUUUUUUUUUAUUCAAAUCUUUCUCUCUCACCUCGAUUCGCCAUACCGGCCACCGCGGCGAGCCAAUGUUGUUCCGUCAUAUACUUCUUGGCUUGUUUUCCCUUUUCUGAAUUUUCAUCUUCCCAAUUUCUUCUGUAUGUCAACCAAACAAGAAUGCUAAUGUUGUUUGUAUGCCAUGGCCGGAUGGUCCUGUUUCCUCUGUUAAAACUUAUCCUUCAGGGCCGAAAUCUUGAGUUAAGUGACAAUGUUCGAAGCCAUGUGGAAGAAAAGGUUGGAAAAGCUGUCAAGAACCAUAGCCAUUUGAUGCGGGAGGUUAUACAAUGUCGGGUUGUUAAUUGCUGGGAAAAACAAAGAGGUCUGCUCGUUGAAGCUUUUCAUGUUUUUCUUGAAAUGUUCGUGAAGAUUUUUGCUGCAACUAUAACAUUAUCUCUAAUUCAUAACAUGUCUCCUCCCAAAAGAUCAUCUUGAGCCUCCAUGUUUUACUAAUAGAUUUUUCUCUAUAGAAUCUUUCUGAUUCUCAGAAUUUUUAGUUCCCUUCAACUAGGUUUAAGGAUCUCACCAAGAGCUCCAAAACCUUGUCAUUUUGUAUACUACACUACUCAGAAGUGAAAUGAUAUGUUUGUACCAUUAAUGUUUUGAU
This is a long non-coding RNA of Beta vulgaris subsp. vulgaris (sugar beet), 4415 nucleotides long. RefSeq lists it as uncharacterized. The transcript is spliced from 4 exons. The record is from RefSeq and is a predicted model, not a curated record. NCBI's taxonomy places the organism in Eukaryota, Viridiplantae, Streptophyta, Magnoliopsida, Caryophyllales, Amaranthaceae.